UACGUAGGGGGCUAGCGUUGUCCGGAAUCAUUGGGCGUAAAGCGCGUGUAGGCGGCCCGGUAAGUCCGCUGUGAAAGUCGGGGGCUCAACCCUCGAAUGCCGGUGGAUACUGUCGGGCUCGAGUGCGGAAGAGGCGAGUGGAAUUCCUGGUGUAGCGGUGAAAUGCGCAGAUAUCGGGAAGAACACCCGUGGCGAAGGCGGUUCUCUGGGACGGUACUGACGCUGAGACGCGAAAGCGUGGGGAGCGAACAGG
RNAcentral lists this ribosomal RNA (253 nucleotides) under uncultured bacterium. Its description in RNAcentral is "partial 16S ribosomal RNA". It matches the Rfam family "Bacterial small subunit ribosomal RNA", at positions 524 to 776 of the family's 1533-position model. The record is from RNAcentral.